Hypanus sabinus (Atlantic stingray) is the source of this 3912-nucleotide long non-coding RNA. RefSeq lists it as uncharacterized. The record is from RefSeq and is a predicted model, not a curated record. Lineage: Eukaryota; Metazoa; Chordata; Chondrichthyes; Myliobatiformes; Dasyatidae. The transcript is spliced from 2 exons.
AUACGAGAUCUUGGGAAGAAAUGAUACGAUUCAGAAAACAAGGGAGGUGGAGACAGAGCUCAGAAAAAUAGGGAUGCGGUGAGAAACGCCACGAACCAGGACUAUUUAUUCGUCGAUGCCAAACGGUACUCACAUUGAGAGGAGGGUGCAGUUGUUGAAGUGCUGGUGGAAAAAGUGAAAGAGAAAAAAAGGAGUUAGUGCCCUUCUCAGCUAAUGCUUCAAGUGGUUAAGUAUAGUCCACGGUACUUUUGGAACGAGCUGGUUAAUUGUUGUAGCACUAUGCCCAUGACCAAGAUUCAUUCCAGUAACUGCUUGAAUGGUCUAGUCAGAGCAGCAAAGUGUACUGGGUUUUCUUGUAUUCAUACAUCUGAAGUGAUCUCUAAUAACCCUUGAAAUUUGAUAUUGAACUGCAUUCUUAAGAGCAGCGUGGUGAAUAUCUUCCCAUGUUAUUAUUGGUUGAGGAGUAAUAGGAUUUUGAUCCAGUGACAAUGAAUGAAUGCUAUUCUAUUUCCAAGUCAGGAUAGUUUGUAACUUGGACAGAAAGUUUAGAGGUGGAGUUGUUUCCGUUACCAUUCUCAUGGAAUUCAAAGUGCAGCCCACAUAAAGGUCACACCAGAGGCUGUUAAUUUAAUUAAUUGGUUAACAGAAUUAUCACUUCACUCUUCAAAAUGGAGAGGAAUUAUCCCCAGGCCAACAACAGCAUGAGGUGUGUUAUUUUGUUUGAGAUGCACGUCUUUGUGUGUCUAACACAGGGAAAGCCUAGUGUGUGCUAGAUUUAGUAGAAGUCAUUGGAACAUCUUCAGCUAAAAUCACUGUGGACCAUAGCUGCUGUGUAUUUGAUAAAAUCACACAGUCUUACAGUUUGAUACUUCCUCAAAGAGAUAUUUCAGGCUUCAUCAUGGUUAGUGUGGUUAAUUCAAGGUAUAGUCAGUCAAGAAUGUGGAACUACAACAGAAAUGUGGAAAGUUAACUUCAUAAACACACAAACCAUUCUGUGUAUUCAUUACCCCUUGUCUUAUGGUUUAUGUUACCCAGAAGUUCUGCUCAAAAAGUCUUCUGAGCUGAUUCAUCCCAGCUUGUUCCCCAUCAUUCUUCUGUUUGUAGUAUCAGUUAAGCAUCCUCUUCUACAAGAAAGAGGGUGUUCAAUGUCCUGCAGUCUGCCUCGAUGAAAUACAGAUUAUAUUUAAAUAGCAGGUGAAAUGCGAUAGUUAUCAGAUGUGGAUGCAAUUAUGGAGCAAUGGUGAAUGAUAUUGGUAAAAAGAAGACACAAACUGCUGAUGCUAAAAACUGGAGUGAAAAACAAGGUGAUGGAAGUCUUUGGGCAGCACCUGUUGUGAGAAAUGAAUAGCUAUUAUUCUGGACCAAGAUAUAUAUAGCCAGUAUAAAAAUGUGAAGGGGAAGGGUAGAGCAAGAGCUAGCAAGGGAUGGGUGGAUCCAAGUGAGGAGGGGUGAUAGGCAGAUAGGGGAGAGUGGAGGAAGCUGGGAAGAAAUAAUUAAAAGUAACAUAGGGUCAAAGAUGAUGGAAUCAGAUUGGAGAGGAAUAUGGAAUCAAGAGAUUUGGGUAAAAACCCUAACUGAUAGGUUAUUCUCACCUGAGUAAUAAGGACAUGUUGCACGGAGUUUGUGUGUACGAGUGUAGUAGUGUUAAUAAUGGCAACAAAGAUUUGGAGCCAACUGUACUGAGUUUGGGUCCAGAUGAACAUAAUCUUCUCUCAUUGCUGCUUUAUAGUGGAUUAGGAGGGCUUCAUAAGGGUAUUUCUCCCCUCAAUGCUGUGAACCAAAAUAUCCAGAGCUACAUUAGGAAAUUUUGGAUAUCCACUCCUGUCCAUGCCUAACCAAACUUAUCAAGCUUUUGCAAAGUUUCCAUCAGAAGUUUAUGUGCAUGUGUAUGCAUUUAUAUUUGAAUUCUUGUGAAAUUGAUAAUGGGGUGGCUUUUUGAUCCUUUGGUUCAAAACACUUCAAAAUCGGUUUUUUCCAGAUGCUCUAGUUUCCUCUCGCAGUCAAAGAGGUACCAGGUAGGUUAAUUAGCCAUUGUGAAUUGUCUCGUGAUUAGGUUAGGAUUAAUUGGUUUGUCGGGGGUUGCGGAGACGGCAUGUCUCAAAGGACCAGAGGGGCUUACUCCGUGCGGUAUCCCAAAAUAACUAAAUAAAAACAAAUUUACCCAGAUUCAUUUUGUCAGUUUUCAUUGCAAUCUUGAAGACCAGACUAUUAUGAUGAGUUGACGCUCUCCAGAGAAAGCUUACUCUGACAUCAAGAACAGUGCAUUACGCAUUCCAGUUUGUAGAAAAAUAAUGUAGAAUCUCACUGGUAAUCCUUCAGCCAAAGUGCACAGCUGUUAUCAGUAGUCAAUUAGGUCCUUCUAACUGAAUAAAUACAUAGAAAAUGAACACAGAACGGUUGACAGCAUAUCAUUUAGACCAUGUGUGGAUUACAAGUAUGACCACAGAGGAAAAACAGAUCUAACAAUCUGAUGAAUAAUGCAAAUUUACCCUUGCAUGUCCAUACAAUUGAUAGCUGUUCCACAAUGAUAAUCUAAAGCUGUUCACCUAAUGUUAGCAUUUUGGGACUGUGUCACAUCCCUGACUGAGUCAUUGUACCAUAAAAUCCACAGAAAACUAAUCCAGAAUGGUCUUCAGAAAUAAUAGUUUCGUGUGGGCUAAAAUCACAUCUUCCUGUAAUGUGUUCAAACAAGACUUAAUUUCAUUUCAGUCAAUUCAUCAUUUUAAGUGCUGCCCCCCAAUAUGCAGGUAAAUGUGUAUCUGUUCUGCCUUAACACUGUUUUAGGUUUCUUAGAACCAGUGAGUGAGUGAGUCAGACAGUGUUGACCAUGGAUGUUGCGUCCCAGCUGUUUAGAUACGCAAGCCUGGGCAGUACGAUAUGGAAAACAAGCUGUUGCCCCUGUAGCAAGCUCCGCCUCUCCAUGCAUUUGAUAAACCGAAAGGACUGGCAGAGACCGAUACGGUUGGUACCACUCAGCUGGCAAUUAAAUUGUUAACAGGCAGAAAUUUAUACAAACAUUACAAAUAUGCCAAAAUGAAGCAUAAAUCUAAAUUUUAAGAAUGGGUUAGUUUAUAGAUGGUGAAAAUCUUUUGUUUACUAUUUGAAAAUUUGGUCAAUUGUAGCACUCAGGAGAUGAGCACUGAAGUGUACAAGCAACUAUCACUUGGUCCCUCUGAAUGAGGUUACUAAUUUAGUCUAAAAUUAGGUGCAAUUUUCUGUGAUGGGCCUCAUCCACAUUGCACCAGACUUGAGAAUACAACAAUGAAAUUCAUUUCCCACAGAGAAGAAAGCUUUCUUUGGGUGAUUUUGAAGUGAUUGUGACUGAUUUAUUUAUUCAUCCAGUUCAUGUAAUGGUAAGUGAUUUGUCACGUUAUGAACUGUCUAUAAAUCUCUGCGCUCUCCAUUUUUUUACUGUUCUCAUUGCUGUGCUUUGCAAGUCUGAAAAGUUACAUCCAGAAACUGUGAAAGAGACUCUUCACUGUUCACACUCAGGAACUCAGUGGUUUAGCAAGCUUGAUUUCUCAACUGUUGUCAUUGUACAUCAUUAUGUCAAUUAUCCAGCAUUUUGUGAGAGUCUGGCAAGGAUGCUGACCUUGACUUUAUUACGGUUUAUAUGUUGUGUUCUCUUGUUGCAGAAGCAUUGGAUUGUCUGUUCUACUUCAAAGAAAAUGAUGAGAGGAAUUUGCUCAGUGCAGCACUGUUCCUGAUGCCUUGUUCUUGAAAAAUUUCCACUUUGUUUCUGAUUUCUGUUUUUUGUUUCCUUUUCACAAGACUAACCAUAAUUGUAAAGAGGUUGAGCCAUAAUAAAAGAUAGGAAAAGCAGAAAUCUUACAGUCAAGAAAGGCAAGAUUUAAGGAAGACCUAGAUACAUAAUGUAAAUUAAUAAUGUACAUUAAACAAGAUUAAAUUCAA